Molecule: ribosomal RNA, 606 nt
Filed under: Chalcorana raniceps (Peters' Malaysian frog)
Lineage: Eukaryota; Metazoa; Chordata; Amphibia; Anura; Ranidae
Description: Hylarana raniceps (Peters' Malaysian frog) partial 16S ribosomal RNA
Rfam family: Bacterial large subunit ribosomal RNA (bases 348-566)
Source: RNAcentral
UUAUUUGAAACAGGACACAACCUCUCAUACUGGGUAAGCAAAGGAUAACAUAAACCAAGUGGGCCUAAAAGCAGCCAUCUUUAAGAAAGCGUUAUAGCUCUACCAUACUUAAUCCACAAUCAUUAUUACUCUCCCCAACCCUUUACCCCUACUGAACCAUUUUAUACCACUAUAAAAGUUAUUAUGCUAGGACUAGUAACAAGAAUUCGAUUUUCUCCUCAAUAUGAGUAUAAACCAAAAUGGACAAUCCAUUGGAAAUUAACGUUAAUGACCAUAUUAUAGUAACCCCUUAACCAGAAAACCCUAUAAUUAUAAACGUUAACCUAACACUAGAAUAUUCAAGGAAAGAUUAAAAGAAAAAGAAGGAACUCGGCAAAUUUUAACCCCGCCUGUUUACCAAAAACAUCGCCUCUUGAUAAACAAACAUAAGAGGUCCAGCCUGCCCAGUGACAAUGUUCAACGGCCGCGGUAUCCUAACCGUGCAAAGGUAGCAUAAUCACUUGUCCUAUAAAUGAGGACUCGUAUCAACGGCAUCACGAGGGCUAUACUGUCUCCUUUUUCUAAUCAGUGAAACUGAUCUCCCCGUGAAGAAGCUGGGAUUUUAAU